Drosophila simulans is the source of this 1213-nucleotide long non-coding RNA. RefSeq lists it as uncharacterized. The transcript has 5 exons. The record is from RefSeq and is a predicted model, not a curated record. Lineage: Eukaryota; Metazoa; Arthropoda; Insecta; Diptera; Drosophilidae.
CCGACUGUUAUCGUCUGCUACUUUGUCUGUCCGGUUAGGAGAGAAUUCGUCGAUGAUGCAGAACAGGGGAGAAAUAUACAAUUUGAGGACAAGUUUUGCAGCAUAAAGGUGUGGCAUCUGCGCCACGCAGAUGGUCUUUAUUUAUGCAUUGGCGUCAGGAGGUGGAGACGGCAUCAUAAAAUUGUCAGAUAUUUGUAUCUAUAAUCGCAAAAGUUGGCGAUUUUGUUUUGCUUUAACGGGGCCCGUCUCCUGGUUUACGUGUGCGUCAUCGGCAGGAUGAGGCCGGAUUUUUGUAUUUGCUGGUUUGCCUGUCCGGUUUGUAUCUUUCUGUGUGUCCUUGAUUAAUUUUGUAUUCUGUUAUUAUUAAUUUUCCUUUCCACACAGAUUAUCAGGAAAUCAUUGAAGAAACGGUACUGAGGAAAUUUAUACAAUUUGGAGACGGAUUUUAAUUCUUUUUAAUAUGAUGUCAGCUCCGGGAUUGUGAUCCUUUUUAGUGCAGUGGCACCAGGAAGUGGAGACGGCGUUGUAAGAUUGUCAAUUAUUUGUGUUUAUAAUCACGAAAGAUGGCGAUUUUGUUUUUCUUUGCAGGGCUCGUCUUCUCUUGUUGGUUGCGUUGGAUCGCCAGUUGGCUGUGUUUAUUGAGGUUUUAGCGUCUCUUAUGUAGGCGCUCGUCGAUCUGAGAGAAUUUAAGAGUAGUGGAAAGGAUAGAUUCUGCAGCUCCGCGUUAAGUGCCCUGAACUAAGCGUGGGCAGCUUAUAUGGCCCGUCUAUUGCAGCGCAGCACUGCAAGUAGAUUGCAUCGGUGAUAAGGGAUACUAAUCGGGACCGUGUGGCAAGAAUGUUCAGUCAGGAUCAGCUGGAGUGCAUUGUCUUGGGCUUGCUCAUCCGGGUACUUUGAGAUGAGUUUGGCUGCGUCGAGGAAAGUGAUGACAGUGGAGGAGUUUGUUUUAGCUUUGUAGGUGGAGGUACGGAGACAGAAUGAAUUCUGUUCCGCAUCCACAACUUUAUUUUGCCUUUGAUUACAAUAAAUGCAAUAUGUAGGUACAAUAAUUUGAAUUUUUGAGUUUAACAUAGCUUGGGGUGAGUUUGGGGCUUGGACAUAGUUUGUUAGUAUUAAUUUUAAGUUAGUAUUUUGUAGGCAUGGAUUUUAGACAAUGACAUGAAUGGUAACAUUAUCAGCUUGCAUGUUUUGUUUACAUUUUUAAAAUGAAAUU